RNAcentral lists this transfer RNA (64 nucleotides) under Luperomorpha hainana. Its description in RNAcentral is "tRNA-Tyr". The record is from RNAcentral. Lineage: Eukaryota; Metazoa; Arthropoda; Insecta; Coleoptera; Chrysomelidae.
AGUAGGAUGACCGAAAAUAGGUGAUAAAUUGUAAAUUUAUUUAUGAAUCUUUAUUCUUCUACUA